GACGAACGCUGGCGGCGUGCUUAAUACAUGCAAGUCGAACGGAAAGGCGCUGCUUUUGUGGGGUGCUCGAUUGGCGAACGGGUGAGUAUCACGUGUGUAACCUGCCCUUGACUUUGGGAUAACAUCUGGAAACUGCGGCUCAUACCGGAUAGAAGCUCCUGCACCAUGUUGGGGGAUGGAAAGUUACGGCGGUUCGGGCACGACUCGCGGGUUAUCCGCUUGAUUGGCGGGUAGUGGCUUACCAAGCCUUUGACGGGUAGCCGGCCUUAGAGAUUGACCGGCCACCUGGGGCCUGAGAUACGGCCCAGACGCGUACGUGAGGCAGCAGUGGAGAAUAUGGCACAAUGAGCGGGAGCCUGAUGCAGCGACGUCGCGUGCGGGAUGACGUCCUUCGGGUUGUAAACCGCUUUCGCCUGAGACGAAGCGUGAGUGACGGUAACGGGUAAAGAAGCACCGGCUAACUACGUG
RNAcentral lists this ribosomal RNA (468 nucleotides) under uncultured bacterium. Its description in RNAcentral is "partial 16S ribosomal RNA". It matches the Rfam family "Bacterial small subunit ribosomal RNA", at positions 28 to 507 of the family's 1533-position model. The record is from RNAcentral.